AGAGUUUGAUCCUGGCUCAGAACGAACGCUGGCGGCAUGCCUAACACAUGCAAGUCGAACGAGGGCUUCGGCCCUAGUGGCGCACGGGUGAGUAACGCGUGGGAACCUGCCCUGUGGUACGGAAUAACUCCGGGAAACUGGAGCUAAUACCGUAUGUGUCCUGUGGGACAAAGAUUUAUCGCCAUGGGAUGGGCCCGCGUAGGAUUAGCUUGUUGGUGGGGUAACGGCCUACCAAGGCUUCGAUCCUUAGCUGGUCUGAGAGGAUGAUCAGCCACACUGGGACUGAGACACGGCCCAGACUCCUACGGGAGGCAGCAGUGGGGAAUAUUGGACAAUGGGCGCAAGCCUGAUCCAGCAAUGCCGCGUGAGUGAUGAAGGCCUUCGGGUUGUAAAGCUCUUUCGCACGCGACGAUGAUGACGGUAGCGUGAGAAGAAGCCCCGGCUAACUUCGUGCCAGCAGCCGCGGUAAUACGAAGGGGGCUAGCGUUGUUCGGAAUUACUGGGCGUAAAGGGCGCGUAGGCGGUACUUCAAGUCAGGCGUGAAAGCCCCGGGCUCAACCUGGGAACCGCGCUUGAGACUGGAGAACUAGAGUUCGGGAGAGGAUGGUGGAAUUCCCAGUGUAGAGGUGAAAUUCGUAGAUAUUGGGAAGAACACCGAUGGCGAAGGCAGCCAUCUGGACCGACACUGNNGCUGAGGNNCGAAAGCGUGGGGAGCAAACAGGAUUAGAUACCCUAGUAGUCC
This 742-nucleotide ribosomal RNA is filed under the name uncultured bacterium. Its description in RNAcentral is "bacterial SSU rRNA". It matches the Rfam family "Bacterial small subunit ribosomal RNA", at positions 8 to 796 of the family's 1533-position model. The record is from RNAcentral.